Molecule: ribosomal RNA, 253 nt
Filed under: uncultured bacterium
Lineage: Bacteria
Description: partial 16S ribosomal RNA
Rfam family: Bacterial small subunit ribosomal RNA
Source: RNAcentral
UACGUAGGGUGCAAGCGUUGUCCGGAAUUAUUGGGCGUAAAGAGCUCGUAGGCGGUUUGUCGCGUCUGCUGUGAAAUCUUAGGGCUUAACCCUGAGCUUGCAGUGGGUACGGGCAGACUAGAGUGCGGUAGGGGAGACUGGAAUUCCUGGUGUAGCGGUGAAAUGCGCAGAUAUCAGGAGGAACACCGGUGGCGAAGGCGGGUCUCUGGGCAGUAACUGACGCUGAGGAGCGAAAGCGUGGGGAGCGAACAGG